GACGAACGCUGGCGGCGUGCUUAACACAUGCAAGUCGAACGGAAAGGCCCUGCUUUUGUGGGGUGCUCGAGUGGCGAACGGGUGAGUAACACGUGAGUAACCUGCCCCUGACUUUGGGAUAACUUCAGGGAACUCGGGCUAAUACCGGAUAGGAGCUCCUGCUGCAUGGUGGGGGUUGGAAAGUUUCGGCGGUUCGGGAUGGACUCGCGGCUUAUCAGCUUGUUGGUGGGGUAGUGGCUUACCAAGGCUCUGACGGGUAGCCGGCCUGAGAGGGUGACCGGCCACAUUGGGACUGGGAUACGGCCCAGACUCCUACGGGAGGCAGCGGUGGGGAAUAUUGCACAAUGGGCGGAAGCCUGAUGCAGCAACGCCGCGUGCGGGAUGACGGCCUUCGGGGUGUAAACCGCUUUCGCCUGUGACGAAGCGUGAGUGACGGUAAUGGGUAAAGAAGCACCGGCUAACUACGUG
This 468-nucleotide ribosomal RNA is filed under the name uncultured bacterium. RNAcentral describes it as "partial 16S ribosomal RNA". It matches the Rfam family "Bacterial small subunit ribosomal RNA", at positions 28 to 507 of the family's 1533-position model. The record is from RNAcentral.